AAAAUGACCCCGUAACUUCGGGAGAAGGGGUGCCUCGCACGCCUGGAUUCAUUCAGGCAAGUGAUCGAGGCCUCAGAUAAACGGCCCAAGCGACUGUUUAACAAAAACACAGGUCUCUGCGAAGGGGAAACCCUACGUAUAGGGGCUGACACCUGCCCAGUGCCGGAAGGUUAAUGGGAGAGCUGCAAGGCUUGAACUGAAGCCCCGGUGAACGGCGGCCGUAACUAUAACGGUCCUAAGGUGGAAAACGCUGCCUUAGAGAAAUCCGACCAAAUGCUGGAAUCCCUGGCGAAUCCUCCGGUGCUCGCUCAAGCCGCCGCCGAUCUGGUAGGUGGAUGAGCAGCGACAAUCCGAGGGGCGUUCUUCGCGAAGGCGAGGAGCCAGACAAUCAGCAGGAAAGACCGGACCGCAAAAGCGGUUCCGGAAUCCUCAGAGACCAUACGUCGGACGUCCGAGUGUUCGGACGAAGAUAUGGUCCCAGCUGCAUGGCGACAUGCAGGGUCACAACGUGCAAGGACGUCAUGACCACCCUGUCGAUUCGAAUCGGCAGGGCAAGAUCGCUAAGCGAAAUUCCUUGUCGGGUAAGCCAAAGAACUUGCCCCCGAGCGGAGUGAUCCGCUCGGCUCACGCCGGCUCAUAUCGGCGGAUCCCCACCGUGCCUGCGGAAGCACGAGGGAAAUGCCGAGGGAAGUCCGAAAGGACCCCGUAACGACUGCUUCCUGGAGAAAGCGCUUCUCAGGAGCGGUGGCGCUCCGGCUCGAUCGAGCAAUCAAUGAGUGCCACAAGACGCUGGCCCUGCGAGAUCUGUCGCAGGUGAAUGCAUAGUCUGCGCCGCCGGUAACGGCGGAUCGAUCAAGCGAAGUUCCGACCCGCACGAAAGGCGUAACGACUUGGGCGCUGUCUCAACGAGGGACCCGGCGAAACUGAGAUACCCGUGAAGACGCGGGUUACGCACACUUGGACAAAAAGACCCCGUGGAGCUUUACUGCAUCUUGGCAUUGGAUUGGGGUCUCGCAUGUGUAGCAUAGGUGGGAGACUUUGAAGCUGGCGCGCUAGCGUCGGUGGAGUCACCAGUGAAAUACCACCCUUGCGCGACUUCGACUCUAACGGCUGUCCGUGAUCCGGCAGCCGGACAUUGCCAGGUGGGCAGUUUGACUGGGGCGGUCGCCUCCUAAAAAGUAACGGAGGCGCCCAAAGGUACCCUCAGGCUGGGUGGAAAUCAGCCGCAGAGUGCAAAGGCAUAAGGGUGCUUGACUGUGAGGCUUACUCGCCGAACAGGGACGAAAGUCGGGCUUAGUGACCUUCUGAUCCCGAGUGGAAGGGUCAGGAAUCAUCGGAUAAAAGCUACCCCGGGGAUAACAGGCUUAUCACGCCCAAGCGUUCACAGCGACGGCGUGGUUUGGCACCUCGAUGUCGGCUCGUCGCAUCCUGGGGGGGCAGUACCUCCCAAGGGUUGGGCUGUUCGCCCAUUAAAGCGGUACGCGAGCUGGGUUCAGAACGUUGUGAAACAGUUCGGUCUCUAUCCAGUGUGCGCGCAGGUGAGUUGCGAGGAGCUGCCCCCAGUACGAGAGGACCGGGGUGGGCUGACCUAUGGUGUACGAGUUGUCCUGCCAAGGGCACUGCUCGGUAGUUAUGUCGGUUCGCGAUAACCGCUGAAAGCAUCUAAGUGGGAAGCGCACCUUAAGAUGAACUCACCCUCUGAGUGAUCAGGUAAGACCGCAGGUAGAGAACCUGUUUGAUAGGCGGCAGGUGGAAGGCCCGCGAGGGUCGGAGCUGAGCCGUACUAACGGUCGAGGGCUUGACCUA
RNAcentral lists this ribosomal RNA (1806 nucleotides) under Gallionella sp. RNAcentral describes it as "partial 23S ribosomal RNA". It matches the Rfam family "Bacterial large subunit ribosomal RNA", at positions 1719 to 2925 of the family's 2925-position model. Lineage: Bacteria; Pseudomonadati; Pseudomonadota; Betaproteobacteria; Nitrosomonadales; Gallionellaceae. The record is from RNAcentral.